AUGAACUUAGCUUGCUAAGUUUGAUGGCGACCGGCGCACGGGUGAGUAACACGUAUCCCACCUUCCGUUUACUCAGGGAUAGCCUUUCGAAAGAAAGAUUAAUACCUGAUAGUAUGGUGAGAUUGCAUGAUAACACCAUUAAAGAUUUAUUGGUAAACGAUGGGGAUGCGUUCCAUUAGGUAGUAGGCGGGGUAACGGCCCACCUAGCCUGCGAUGGAUAGGGGUUCUGAGAGGAAGGUCCCCCACAUUGGAACUGAGACACGGUCCAAACUCCUACGGGAGGCAGCAGUGAGGAAUAUUGGUCAAUGGGCGAGAGCCUGAACCAGCCAAGUAGCGUGAAGGAUGAAGGUCCUACGGAUUGUAAACUUCUUUUAUACGGGAAUAAAGUUUCCUACGUGUAGGAUUUUGUAUGUACCGUAUGAAUAAGCAUCGGCUAACUCCGUGCCAGCAGCCGCGGUAAUACGGAGGAUGCGAGCGUUAUCCGGAUUUAUUGGGUUUAAAGGGAGCGCAGACGGGAGAUUAAGUCAGUUGUGAAAGUUUGCGGCUCAACCGUAAAAUUGCAGUUGAUACUGGUUUCCUUGAGUGCAGUUGAGGCAGGCGGAAUUCGUGGUGUAGCGGUGAAAUGCUUAGAUAUCACGAAGAACUCCGAUUG
This 652-nucleotide ribosomal RNA is filed under the name uncultured Bacteroides sp. RNAcentral describes it as "bacterial SSU rRNA". It matches the Rfam family "Bacterial small subunit ribosomal RNA", at positions 69 to 715 of the family's 1533-position model. Lineage: Bacteria; Pseudomonadati; Bacteroidota; Bacteroidia; Bacteroidales; Bacteroidaceae. The record is from RNAcentral.